Molecule: long non-coding RNA, 1387 nt
Filed under: Homo sapiens (human)
Lineage: Eukaryota; Metazoa; Chordata; Mammalia; Primates; Hominidae
Description: HSALNT0382903
Source: RNAcentral
CAGGCCCAGAGGGAAGGGUGGAGGCUGUGAACUGCCAUUAUGCAUAUGCCUGGGGUUGUCCUGCCUUAAUUUAAGACCAUAAGCAAUCCAUCUUCUUCCAGAAACAGGGUAGAGCCUUCCCAGAUCAACAAAGCUCUGUCAGAGCUGAAGGUACACCUGAUUCCCUAGAGCACCAUUGAACAAGCCGGAUACAGUGCAGUUUGUUUCUCCUGGGCAGGCACACAUGGCGUCUGCCAAAAUGAGAACAUCGUUCACUUACACCUGUUUAUGGAAAACAAGAUACAGAAUGGCAUUGUACUUGAGAUUUGGAACCACCAGGAAUCCUGUUCUGUCUCCCCAGCUGUGCCAAUAAUUUCAUCAUAUUCAUUCCACCUGCAUGGGAUCGUGAUGCUUUCAGCCUUGGAACACCAAUAUUCACUGACAGGACACAACUUACAGUGCGGAAAGCACGAACAAACAGAGCAGAGAGAUCCCAAACAAAGGAAACCCAUUACCUGGUGUAGCAAGUUGAAUAGGGACCCUCCCCACAAAAUUCAUGUCCAUCUGAAACCAGUGAAUGUGACGGUAUUUGGAAUUGGGUCUUUGCAAAUGUAAUCAAGUUAAGAUGGGGUCGUACUCGUUGGAGGGAGUCCUAACCCCAUGACUGGUGUCCUUGGAAGAAGUGAAAUCUGGAUACAAAGACACAGAUACAGAGGGGAGGAGGCCACGUGAAGAUGGAAGUGGAGACUGGAGCCACGUAUCUACAGCAAGCAAUGCCAAGGAUGGCUGGCAACCAUCAGAAGAGGAGACAAGCAGGGAACAGUCUUGCCUUCAGAGCCUAAGGAAGGAGCCAACCUUGUAAAACCUGUUUUCAAACUUCUAGCUUCUAGAAUGGUGAGAGAAUAUGCCCAAAUUACCUCUCAUGACUCAGGAGUUCCACGCUCCUGUCCUUAGUGGCUGAAGGGACCGUUUGCCACUUCCUUCUGAAAGGACCCUUGUUACUCAGACACGCUCCCAUCAAUUCAGAUGACAGCUAACUGACAUGAACACCCACAGAUGACUUCUUAACAUAAUACAAAUUGCAUUCUGUGAAUAAAUACUUAUUGGCUUGGCUUCUUUGCCUCUGUGAUUCAGCUAUCAGAACCAUCCUUUCCUUUCCUCUUAGCUAUCAGCAAAGUGAGAGAGCUCAGAGGACACAGACAGCUGGGGGAGGGGGAGAUCUCUCUUCCUUGCAACCCUCAAGGACCUAGCACAACAAGCUUUGAUACUUAUGGGUCCUAAGGCAAAUACCUCUCAAGGAAAACCAAACCAAACCCCUAAAGGAUUUCUCUGUUCCAAUUCCAUCUGGUUGAAGAUGUAAAUUUCAUUUAGGGUCCAGUCCUGCAGUGACACAGCCAGUGCCAAAUCC